RNAcentral lists this transfer RNA (65 nucleotides) under Dicotyles tajacu (collared peccary). Its description in RNAcentral is "tRNA-Pro". The record is from RNAcentral. Lineage: Eukaryota; Metazoa; Chordata; Mammalia; Artiodactyla; Tayassuidae.
CAGGGAAUAGUUUAAUUAGAAUUUCAGCUUUGGGUGCUGAUGGUGGAGUCAGUCUCCUUCCUUGA